GCUGUUAAGGGUUCGUAGUUGGGGCAGGAGACUUAGGUUAGGUUGGUCGUUCUCCGGAACCAUGCCAACUCUCACCUUGCUCGUUAGAUACGGAACAGAGCUCUUGCGGACACCUCUUCGGGGGUUGUGCACAACCGCAUAUAUCGUGCAGGGAGCAUCCGUAGCAUCACUGUGAACAAACAGCGUGUCCAAAGCAGCCUGAUGUAACGGCUGAAUGCAAAAGCAUGGAAUGACAAGGGUCGACCAUUGUGGCCAUCCCCCUUGUUGGUUUAUGAGGCCCAAAGGAGAGACGAGUUUGCGUGUCUAAUGUGUUCAAAUGGGGAGUCUUAGGGCAAACCGGAUGGCACAUAAGGCCGCUUCUCGCUGGGAUCAACAGGGGCUGUCGGGGGAAGACGUAUGGGAAUGCGAGAGGUGAAUUCUGUGACCAUUCCCAGACGAACCGAUGCGAAGGCUUCUUCCAAGUAUGCCUUCAUUAUCAAGAACCAAAGCGUGGAGAUCGAAGAUGAUUAGAGACCAUUGUAGUCC
RNAcentral lists this ribosomal RNA (525 nucleotides) under uncultured kinetoplastid. RNAcentral's name for it is "bacterial SSU rRNA". It matches the Rfam family "Eukaryotic small subunit ribosomal RNA", at positions 615 to 1026 of the family's 1831-position model. The record is from RNAcentral. Lineage: Eukaryota; Euglenozoa; Kinetoplastea.